GGGUGUGAUAUUAGGACCUGUAGUUCUACUAGGAUUUGAGCGUUGAAUCCUACUAGGUGUAGGACUUCUACUUGCAUGUAUGAGGGUCUUGGAGGGGACUAUAUAAACAAGGGGGUGGAGCCUCUAGGAAUCAAUCAAGUCAAAGGUAAACACCAAGGUCUUAUUCAAGGCUUGUGAGAGGCAAUUAGGAGCGCUCAAGAGGGAUAGGGUAGACAGUUCUAUAGCACUAGAUUCUUGUAUAGGCAAGAAUCAAAGGGUCCUAGAGGGUCGAGUAGGGUUGUGAGGGAGCGACAAUCACUUAUAUAUUUUGGAGUUGUACUUGAAGAAUUUGUGGUCGGUUUCGGCAAAAUCUUAUU
This 356-nucleotide long non-coding RNA is filed under the name Setaria viridis. RNAcentral's name for it is "long non-coding RNA (SVIR_LNC006065)". Lineage: Eukaryota; Viridiplantae; Streptophyta; Magnoliopsida; Poales; Poaceae. The record is from RNAcentral.